This 254-nucleotide ribosomal RNA is filed under the name uncultured bacterium. Its description in RNAcentral is "partial 16S ribosomal RNA". It matches the Rfam family "Bacterial small subunit ribosomal RNA", at positions 524 to 776 of the family's 1533-position model. The record is from RNAcentral.
UACGUAGGGGGCGAGCGUUGUCCGGAUUUAUUGGGCGUAAAGAGCUCGUAGGCGGUUUGGCAAGUCGGGUGUGAAAACUCCGGGCUCAACUCGAAGACGCCACUCGAUACUGCCAUGACUCGAGUCCGGUAGGGGAGUGCGGAAUUCCUGGUGUAGCGGUGAAAUGCGCAGAUAUCAGGAGGAACACCGAUGGCGAAGGCAGAUCUCUGGGCCGUAACUGACGCUGAGGAGCGAAAGCAUGGGGAGCGAACAGG